Molecule: long non-coding RNA, 653 nt
Organism: Betta splendens (Siamese fighting fish)
Lineage: Eukaryota; Metazoa; Chordata; Actinopteri; Anabantiformes; Osphronemidae
Exons: 4
Source: RefSeq, a predicted model, not a curated record
CGACAGCCAGGGUCAAUUUCAAUGUGAAGUGUUAACAAAAGCCUACGUGUGAGGGUCCGCGCGCUCGGCCAACAGGUAUCGGUGCGUUCAGGCUCUGCUCCGUCAAAGCCAACUGCGGACGUCAACUUUCAAGGAUUCCAGUAAUCAAGGCCUUUUGUUCCAGCCACGCACAACAAUCCCCGAGCGCGUCCCCCAACCCCCCUCGGCCUCUACUGUAGACCCCGGCCUGUGGCUCUGCACCUACAGGAGAAGGCGAGCGGAGGAACCAGGCCAGCGGCCUGAUGACAGAAUGCCAUUCAACAUGCUCGCACGAGCACAAUGACGCGGUCGCCCCGAAGAGCAGCUCAGGCCAAGUCGGGUUCCUGCCAGGGUUUUAGAUGCAGCAUGACUCAGGAGAGUGAGACCAGGUGUCGGCUGGUUUCUCUGCAGCACCCAAUGGAACAAACACCAGGAAUUUGUCGAAUCUGUGCUGGAUGUUCUAUUGCACAUGGUUAUAGUUAAUAAAUAACAUUCAGUAGCAGCAAAUGUCAGAUAUUUUUGUAAAACCAGUGUAUGUGGUAUUUAUCAACUUGUUAUUACAGUACAUUUUAUCUUGUGUCAUAAUUCUCAAUUGUCAAUUCUUUAAAACACUAAAUUGCAUUUUACGUACGCGU